Molecule: small nuclear RNA, 158 nt
Organism: Suncus etruscus (white-toothed pygmy shrew)
Lineage: Eukaryota; Metazoa; Chordata; Mammalia; Eulipotyphla; Soricidae
Product: U1 spliceosomal RNA
Exons: 1
Source: RefSeq, a predicted model, not a curated record
AUACUUACCUGGCAGGGGAUAUUCCAUAAUCACAGAGGUGGUUUCCCCAGGGUGAGGCCCACCCAUUGCACUUCGUUGUGCUGACCCCUGUGAUUUUCCCAAUGUGAGAAACUCAACUGCAUUAUUUGUGUUUGUGGGGGACAGCGUUUGAGCUCUAA